UCAAAAUUUUGUUUUUGGCUUUUAUUAAAAUUAUAUAAAUGCUUUUUUGUAAAAAGUAUCGUUGAAAUCGAAUUAGUAGUUUCGGAGCAAAUCGGAUUGAAGAAAAAAAAAAACCGUUCAAUGGCCUGCAGACCAUGUCUUAAAACUUACAUUGGAAUUUUUUAACAAUAUCGUUGGAGCCAUUUUUGAACAAAUUCAACUUUACUAACAUCGAUAAAUGAUAGGUACCGUUAUUUUUGGUCAAAAAAAAAAUAAUUCCAAAAAACCCUCUGGCUGUAGCUUUGUAUACAGACGGACUUCCGGGACCCACUUUUUUGGCAUUCUCUAUCAUCGUGAUGUCAUGAAAAAUGUUAUCUGAACUUUUUUUUUGUACGAAUGCAUAACUUAAU
Molecule: long non-coding RNA, 389 nt
Organism: Episyrphus balteatus (marmalade hoverfly)
Lineage: Eukaryota; Metazoa; Arthropoda; Insecta; Diptera; Syrphidae
Exons: 3
Source: RefSeq, a predicted model, not a curated record